GAGACGGAUGGGCAUGCGGCGCAUUAGCUAGUUGGCGGGGUAACGGCCCACCAAGGCGACGAUGCGUAGGGGUUCUGAGAGGAAGGUCCCCCACACUGGUACUGAGACACGGACCAGACUCCUACGGGAGGCAGCAGUGAGGAAUAUUGGUCAAUGGGCGAGAGCCUGAACCAGCCAAGUCGCGUGAGGGAGUACUGCCCUAUGGGUUGUAAACCUCUUUUGUCGGGGAGCAAAAGCCGGACGUGUCCGGCUGUGAGAGUACCCGAAGAAAAAGCAUCGGCUAACUCCGUGCCAGCAGCCGCGGUAAUACGGAGGAUGCGAGCGUUAUCCGGAUUUAUUGGGUUUAAAGGGUGCGCAGGCGGAUUUUUAAGUCAGCGGUCAAAUCGUGGGGCUCAACCCCAUCCAGCCGUUGAAACUGGGGAUCUAGAGUGUGCGAGAGGUAUGCGGAAUGCGUGGUGUAGCGGUGAAAUGCAUAGAUAUCACGCAGAACCCCGAUUGCGAAGGCAGCAUACCGGUGCACAACUGACGCUCAGGCACGAAAGCGUGGGUAUCGAACAGGAUUAGAUACCCUGGUAGUCCACGCAGUAAACGAUGAAUGCUACCUGUUUGGCCAGAUUGAAGGCUGAGCGGG
RNAcentral lists this ribosomal RNA (631 nucleotides) under uncultured bacterium. Its description in RNAcentral is "bacterial SSU rRNA". It matches the Rfam family "Bacterial small subunit ribosomal RNA", at positions 218 to 847 of the family's 1533-position model. The record is from RNAcentral.